RNAcentral lists this ribosomal RNA (1381 nucleotides) under uncultured prokaryote. RNAcentral describes it as "partial 16S ribosomal RNA". It matches the Rfam family "Bacterial small subunit ribosomal RNA". The record is from RNAcentral.
AGAGUUUGAUCCUGGCUCAGGACGAACGUUGGCGGUGCGCUUAAUGCAUGCAAGUCGAGGGAGAACCAUUUGAUUCGUAAGAUUCGAAUGGGGAAACCGGCGAACGGGUGCGUAACACGUGAGGAACCUGCCCUGAAGAUCGGGAUAGCCCGGGGAAACCCGGAUUAAUACCGAAUAUCCUCUCCGGACCGCAUGGUCUGGUGAGGAAAUGGUCCGCCGCUUCAGGAUGGCCUCGCGGCCUAUCAGCUUGUUGGUGAGGUAACGGCUCACCAAGGCUAAGACGGGUAGCUGGUCUGAGAGGACGAUCAGCCACACUGGGACUGAGACACGGCCCAGACUCCUACGGGAGGCAGCAGCAGGGAAUAUUGCACAAUGGGCGAAAGCCUGAUGCAGCGACACCGCGUGCGGGAUGAAGGCCUUCGGGUUGUAAACCGCUUUCAGGAGGGACGAAAAUGACGGUACCUCCAGAAGAAGGCCCGGCCAACUACGUGCCAGCAGCCGCGGUAACACGUAGGGGCCAAACGUUGUCCGGAUUUAUUGGGCGUAAAGGGCUCGUAGGCGGUUCAACAAGUCGAUCGUGAAAUGCCGGGGCUCAACCCCGGAACGCCGGUCGAAACUGUUGUGACUAGGGUCCGGUAGAGGUGAGUGGAAUUCUCGGUGUAGCGGUGGAAUGCGCAGAUAUCGAGAGGAACACCAGUUGCGAAGGCGGCUCACUGGGCCGGUACCGACGCUAAGGAGCGAAAGCAUGGGGAGCAAACAGGAUUAGAUACCCUGGUAGUCCAUGCCGUAAACUGUGAACACUAGGUGUGGCGGAUCUAUUGAUGUCUGCCGUACCGUAGCUAACGCGUUAAGUGUUCCGCCUGGGGAGUACGGCCGCAAGGCUAAAACUCAAAGGAAUUGACGGGACCCCGCACAAGCGGCGGAGCAUGCGGCUUAAUUCGAUGCAACCCGAAGAACCUUACCUGGACUUGACAUCAUGGGUCUACCUGUGGAAACACAGGGUGCUUUUGCGCCCAUGACAGGUGGUGCAUGGCUGUCGUCAGCUCGUGUCGUGAGAUGUUGGGUUAAGUCCCGCAACGAGCGCAACCCCUGUCCUAUGUUGCCAGCGGAUCAUGCCGGGGACUCUAGGGAGACUGCCGGUGUUAAACCGGAGGAAGGUGGGGAUGACGUCAAGUCCUCAUGGCCUUUACGACCAGGGCUGCACACGUCCUACAAUGGCGCGUACAGAGGGAUGCAAACUCGCGAGAGUAAGCAAAUCCCAAAAAGCGCGCCUCAGUUCGGAUUGCAGGCUGCAACUCGCCUGCAUGAAGCCGGAAUCGCUAGUAAUCGCGGGUCAGCAUACCGCGGUGAAUAUGUUCCUGAGCCUUGUACACACCGCCCG